This 323-nucleotide long non-coding RNA is filed under the name Panax ginseng (ginseng). RNAcentral's name for it is "long non-coding RNA (PGIN_LNC000532)". The record is from RNAcentral. Lineage: Eukaryota; Viridiplantae; Streptophyta; Magnoliopsida; Apiales; Araliaceae.
AUGAAUUAUAGCAAGCCCAUUAUUCAUACUCUUCAAUCAUGAUAUAUCCUUAUAUUGUUGUAUUUAAACUUGCUGGGCAACUUUCAUGCUCACCCUUGCUAUAUCAUGAUAAAACAUUGCAGAUAAGACGAAAGCGUUCGGAUACAGGAAACGAUUAAAGCCAAGUUCAGCUUGGGUUAUAAAGUGCAGCUAGUUUGUAAUAGCGUAUUGUGAUAAAUAUUGUUAUGUAAUAAAUAGUUUAUGAAAUGUGUAUAAGUUAAGGUUACUCGACCUUGGGGACUAGUGUGUAAUGUAAUGUAUAAACAAUUUAUGUUUAUAUCUUC